This is a long non-coding RNA of Camarhynchus parvulus, 766 nucleotides long. NCBI's taxonomy places the organism in Eukaryota, Metazoa, Chordata, Aves, Passeriformes, Thraupidae. The record is from Ensembl.
UGAGCGGGGAGCCCAGCAGCUGCAGCACGUGCAGCACCUCGGCGUGGGACACGGGGACAGGGCUGGACACCUCCCCUGCCUCCGGGGACAGCAGCUCCCUGUCCCUGUCCACCAUUGACACAGCCAGGCUGCUCCGGGCCUUCGGGCAGCACAGGCUGGCCCCAAGCACCGACACCCCCAGCCCAGCCCCAGAGCUGUCCCCAGAGCUGUCCCCGAGGCUGGCCCGGCUGUACCGUGCCAUCAGCCAGCAGAAGAGGCGCUCUGAGAAGUGGCAGGAGCAGAACGGAGCAGCAGGGACUGCAGGAUGUCAGAGCCUCGGGAAGGGCCAGCAGAGCCAGAGCGGCAUGCCCUUCUCAGACUCCACCUGUGCCAGCAGCAGCUCCUGGGGCCCCAGCUGUGCCCUGAGCCACAAGAGACGGGCACGGAUGCUGAACAAAGGCAUCCAGGCAGGGGACCUGGAGAUUGUCAGCAGUGCCACCAAGAGGAACACCCGGGACGUUGGGGUGACCUUCCCCACGCCCAGGAGCAGCCAGCAGCUGUGGGAGCCCCCGGGGCAGGGCCAGGGCACAGCCUGGCAGCAGCCCCGGGCACCGCCGGGCAGGCGUCCUGACAGACACACGGACCAGGAGGGGCAGGCUGCACUUCCAGCAAGGUCAGUGCCGGGGCAGGGCUGGGGACAGGCAGGGCUGGGGACACCUGGGACAGGGCUGGGGACAGGCAGGGCAGGGCUGGGGACAGGCAGGGCAGGGCCGGGGACACCUGGGAC